UGGCGCACGGGUGCGUAACGCGUAUGCAACCUACCUUAAUCAGGGGGAUAGCCUCUCGAAAGAGAGAUUAACACCGCAUAAAAUCACAAGCUGGCAUCAGCAAAUGAUCAAAUAUUUAUAGGAUUAAGAUGGGCAUGCGUGACAUUAGUUUGUUGGUGAGGUAACGGCUCACCAAGACUACGAUGUCUAGGGGAUCUGAGAGGAUGACCCCCCACACUGGUACUGAGACACGGACCAGACUCCUGCGGGAGGCAGCAGUAAGGAAUAUUGGUCAAUGGGGGCAACCCUGAACCAGCCAUGCCGCGUGCAGGAAGACGGCCCUACGGGUUGUAAACUGCUUUUAUACGGGAAUAAACCUCUGUUCGUGAACAGAGCUGAAUGUACUGUAAGAAUAAGGAUCGGCUAACUCCGUGCCAGCAGCCGCGGUAAUACGGAGGAUCCAAGCGUUAUCCGGAUUUAUUGGGUUUAAAGGGUGCGUAGGCGGCCUAUUAAGUCAGGGGUGAAAGACGGUGGCUCAACCAUCGCAGUGCCUUUGAUAC
RNAcentral lists this ribosomal RNA (539 nucleotides) under uncultured Pedobacter sp. RNAcentral's name for it is "bacterial SSU rRNA". It matches the Rfam family "Bacterial small subunit ribosomal RNA", at positions 96 to 633 of the family's 1533-position model. The record is from RNAcentral. Lineage: Bacteria; Pseudomonadati; Bacteroidota; Sphingobacteriia; Sphingobacteriales; Sphingobacteriaceae.